CGGCGGACGGGUGAGUAACGCGUGGGUAACCUGCCUCAUACAGGGGGAUAACAGUUGGAAACGGCUGCUAAUACCGCAUAAGCGCACAGUACCGCAUGGUACCGUGUGAAAAACUCCGGUGGUAUGAGAUGGACCCGCGUCUGAUUAGCUAGUUGGUGGGGUAACGGCCUACCAAGGCGACGAUCAGUAGCCGACCUGAGAGGGUGACCGGCCACAUUGGGACUGAGACACGGCCCAA
RNAcentral lists this ribosomal RNA (238 nucleotides) under uncultured bacterium. RNAcentral's name for it is "partial 16S ribosomal RNA". It matches the Rfam family "Bacterial small subunit ribosomal RNA", at positions 96 to 334 of the family's 1533-position model. The record is from RNAcentral.